This 636-nucleotide ribosomal RNA is filed under the name Planococcus sp. QHL_61. Its description in RNAcentral is "bacterial SSU rRNA". It matches the Rfam family "Bacterial small subunit ribosomal RNA", at positions 94 to 717 of the family's 1533-position model. Lineage: Bacteria; Bacillati; Bacillota; Bacilli; Caryophanales; Caryophanaceae. The record is from RNAcentral.
AGCGGCGGACGGGUGAGUAACACGUGGGCAACCUGCCCUGCAGAUCGGGAUAACUCCGGGAAACCGGUGCUAAUACCGAAUAGUUUGCGGCCUCUCAUGAGGCUGCACGGAAAGACGGUUUCGGCUGUCACUGCAGGAUGGGCCCGCGGCGCAUUAGCUAGUUGGUGAGGUAACGGCUCACCAAGGCCACGAUGCGUAGCCGACCUGAGAGGGUGAUCGGCCACACUGGGACUGAGACACGGCCCAGACUCCUACGGGAGGCAGCAGUAGGGAAUCUUCCGCAAUGGACGAAAGUCUGACGGAGCAACGCCGCGUGAGUGAAGAAGGUUUUCGGAUCGUAAAACUCUGUUGUGAGGGAAGAACAAGUACCAAGUAACUACUGGUACCUUGACGGUACCUCACCAGAAAGCCACGGCUAACUACGUGCCAGCAGCCGCGGUAAUACGUAGGUGGCAAGCGUUGUCCGGAAUUAUUGGGCGUAAAGCGCGCGCAGGCGGUUCUUUAAGUCUGAUGUGAAAGCCCACGGCUCAACCGUGGAGGGUCAUUGGAAACUGGGGAACUUGAGUGCAGAAGAGGAAAGUGGAAUUCCAUGUGUAGCGGUGAAAUGCGUAGAGAUGUGGAGGAACACCAGUGGCG